RNAcentral lists this transfer RNA (86 nucleotides) under Fimbriimonas ginsengisoli. RNAcentral's name for it is "tRNA-Leu". It matches the Rfam family "tRNA". Rfam says of the family: Transfer RNA (tRNA) molecules are approximately 80 nucleotides in length. Their secondary structure includes four short double-helical elements and three loops (D, anti-codon, and T loops). The record is from RNAcentral. Lineage: Bacteria; Bacillati; Armatimonadota; Fimbriimonadia; Fimbriimonadales; Fimbriimonadaceae.
GCGCGGAUGGUGAAACUGGUAGACACGCUACCUUGAGGUGGUAGUGCCCAAAAGGCGUGAAGGUUCGAGUCCUUUUCCGCGCACCA